Bison bison bison is the source of this 107-nucleotide ribosomal RNA. The record is from Ensembl. NCBI's taxonomy places the organism in Eukaryota, Metazoa, Chordata, Mammalia, Artiodactyla, Bovidae.
GGCCGUAUCAGCCUGAAGGCGCCCGAUCUCGUCUGAUCUCGGAAGCUAAGCAGGGUCGGGCCUGGUUAGGAUCUUGGAUGGGAGACCACCUGGGAAUCCCGGGUGCU